Molecule: ribosomal RNA, 112 nt
Filed under: Labrus bergylta (ballan wrasse)
Lineage: Eukaryota; Metazoa; Chordata; Actinopteri; Labriformes; Labridae
Source: RNAcentral
GCUUACGGCCAUACCACCCUGAACACGAUCUCCGAUCUCGGAAGCUAAGCAGGGUCGGGCCUGGUUAGUACUUGGAUGGGAGACCGCCUGGGAAUACCAGGUGCUGUAAGCU